UGCAAAGAUGCCAAAGUCUGAGAAUGGCUAAAACCUGGGGAUUUUCCACAGAGUCAUCAAGUGGCUUAAAUAAUUAGAAUGAAGGUUCCCUUGUGAGAUCACUACCAGCAAAACAGGAGCAGUUUCUGGGCCAAGGUUAGCCAUGCUCAUAAAGAGAAAUGUCUCACACUAACAGCAAAGAAUUCAAGGAAGGAAGAAAUCCUGGAGCCUGCAGCCAGCGCAAGGGGCAGACAGAAUACUGAGUCCUCCAUGGCUGGGCCGAAAGAGAAGGCUCCAGAAAACACAAGUGCUGUGGUGAAGAACAGAGACGGCUAGAGAGCUCUCUGGGACCUUGUAUGAGGACAUUAUGAUGGCUAAUCUUGAAUAUCGACUUGAUGGGACUUGGAGUCACCAUGGAAACAACACUUCUAGACACUCAGAGGGACCUGAAGGUCUUCAGUCUCCUACUCCUGCCAUCACUUUGGAUUCCAAGGGUAGCAAAACUAACAGGACGGACCAUCUGUAGAUAAGAACUAUGAGCCAUGAUCGGGAGGCUGCAGCCCCGAGAGACAGUCAUUUCCUGAGAACUAGAUUGCCCCUUCAAGCAAUAAAGAUGUAGACAGGCCACCUUAUGGAGCCAGAGCUGAGACAGCGUUCAGCAGACCACAUCUUAGCCAGAACUGGUAAGUGCUCCAUGCUUCUUGUCCCCUGUCCCAAUUCUUCUACUAUUUAAAGAUAAAACUCAUGCCGGUACCCCCAAAAACAGACUUUGUGCUUCACUGGACACUUUCAUCCGUUCUCCCCAAAGAGCCCAGCUGAACCUUUCCCCUGUCGCUCUCUGUGGCAUGUUAGGUCUUGGGGAUGGGGGUUGCAGACAAGCCUGUGAGGGCUGCGAGAGCCUGGCUUUUACCCAAAAACUCUGCUCAUAUUACCAGUGGCUAAAGGCACAUUCUUAGUUUUCAACCCAGAGCUGGAGUUAGAUUAGUCAGGCCAGUAGCACCCAGAUUCCCUUGUAGAUAGUAGAGGGACAGAUGUCUAAAUACAGACAGAGCACAAGGAUUAGUUCGUGUCAAUGCUCAGAGCUGCUGUAGAGUGGAGGUGUCACAGUCUGCACCCCAUCAAGCCAGGUUCAGCUACCUCUUCUCAAGAAAGACAGCCAUAAAAGCCGAAUGAAUAAUCAAGAGCAAACAAAGGAGGUGUGUUUGAUAUGGUGACACUGGGAAGAGAUCCGGGACCCCCUAAACCCAUCUUCAGCAUUUGAUGUGAGCGGAAGGUUUAAAGAGACCCGAGUAACUGAGGAAUGUGCCUAAAGGAGCAGUCUGGUGGGGUGUGGUAUCGAUGACGGAGCCAAUGUCGUUUCAGCUCCAAGUUCUUCUAGCAAAGUCAGUCACUCCUGUCAGGUCAACUGACAAGCUGUCAAUCUUCUCCAGCGGUCAAGCGCCUCCCUGGCUCUCCUCAGGACUUCAAUCUUCUCUUCCUACAGCAGGAAAUUCCAACUUCCUGCUGUCCACUGUUUCACUCUUCUGGUAGCCAAAGAGGGGGUCACAGGUGUCUCUUCAAGGUGUAUUCAUUCCUUCCAGUCAGGCCAUUUGGAAGGGACACCAGGAGGUGUGGAAGUCCUCUUCAGGAGGUUAGACAUGUGGGCGCCUCUGAAGGGGUCCCGGAGUCUUGUGUCCUUGAACAAGAAGUCGAGCAGAGACACAUGGCUGUGGCAGAAGCAGGGGCAGCUUGUUAGAAAAGGAUACAUUUCUACAGGAGGAACGAGGCUAGAACAAAGUCCCUGCUGCACAGAGUGGGGGCUUUUAUGUUACUCAGUGUAGUGUUUGGGGUUCAUUUACAUAGUUUAGCAUUCUCCUUGGCAUUAUCCGUUACUGUACUUCUACACCUACCCCCAAGCAUCACUUAUCUCGGCAUCUCAACUCUCCAUCCAGGGCUGUGUGCCUUAGUGGCAUGAGUCAAUUUUACACUCUAGCAUGCCUUUGUGGCUGUCUCAGAGGCCAGGCUUAGUCGGCCUCAGCCAGGGGAGUUUUCCAGCUUUCCCUUUGUCAACCCUCUUUUUUUCACAUGCUGAUUUUGCAGCCUCUCCUAAGGGCUUUAUGGACCUCAGACUCCACCUUCCUCUCCCCGGCACGGGG
Long non-coding RNA from Peromyscus californicus insignis, 2114 nucleotides. RefSeq lists it as uncharacterized. NCBI's taxonomy places the organism in Eukaryota, Metazoa, Chordata, Mammalia, Rodentia, Cricetidae. The record is from RefSeq and is a predicted model, not a curated record. The transcript has 3 exons.